This 527-nucleotide unclassified non-coding RNA is filed under the name Hevea brasiliensis (rubber tree). Lineage: Eukaryota; Viridiplantae; Streptophyta; Magnoliopsida; Malpighiales; Euphorbiaceae. The record is from RNAcentral.
GAUAGCAUUUCCCAUCGGAAUUUCGUUUCUUCUUUAGUUCUGCAAAUAUACUGCAGCAGCUAAAUAUUACUUAAGCAAGCUAAUUGAGUCAUCUCUUCACUCUUUGUAGGCAGAGAAAUAUUUCUCGAAGAGAUAAUCUACUAGUGCUUUGCUAAUCUCCUUUUUAUUUAUUGUGAUUUGAUCCAUGAGUCUUUAACCUUUGCCCGCUUGAACACAGCAUCAUACAAGUACUAACCUAUCUUUAACUAUGUUGCAAUGCAAAGAAAAUUGAAAAUUUCCCAUCUAAUUGAACCAAAAUUCAUCAUCUACUCUUCAACCAAAAAAAUCAUUGGAUUUGGAGAAUAAGGGGAAGAAAAAGAAGAGAACUUAGAACACAAAAUUAAACAAACUACUUCCACUCACACCACAAAUUUGAAUCUAAAGUAACGAACAAAGCAAAACCCAGAAGAGCAGGAAGUGAGGGAACGUACAAGAUGGGUUUGGAAGGUGGGUUAUGGAGGAGAGAUUCAAGGCGAUCAAGCUUGACU